CCUACACGCCAAAUUCUUCUUCUCUCUCAUUGCACUUUCCCCUUUCUCCUAUCAUCAGAUCUUCCUCUUCUCCACCUCCUUCUUUUCCUUUCAAUUUUCAGAAAAUUCACCUGCCAUCAUCGGCGAGAUUUCCUCCAAGCCGCAAUUUUCAGUCAAAGACAAAAAAAAGGACUGGAAUUUCAAUUCGAAAUUCGUUUUGGCCUUAAAUAUUGGGCCAACAACUAUUAGGAUCAUCAGAGCUCGGAGUUUUGUAAAUUAACAGUCAAUAUUUCUUGGCCUUUCUCGUUACUAUUUUGAUUAUACUUCUUUUGAUAUAUUAAUUUAUUUUUACAUACAUGUUUACAUAUAUGUGAAUGUUAAUACUAAUUUCUCCCCUUUAUUUGA
This is a long non-coding RNA of Solanum dulcamara, 384 nucleotides long. RefSeq lists it as uncharacterized. The transcript has 2 exons. The record is from RefSeq and is a predicted model, not a curated record. NCBI's taxonomy places the organism in Eukaryota, Viridiplantae, Streptophyta, Magnoliopsida, Solanales, Solanaceae.